UACGGAGGGGGCUAGCGUUGUUCGGAAUUACUGGGCGUAAAGCGCACGUAGGCGGCUUUGUAAGUUAGAGGUGAAAGCCCAGGGCUUAACCCUGGAAUUGCCUUUAAGACUGCAUCGCUAGAAUUGUGGAGAAGUGAGUGGAAUUCCGAGUGUAGAGGUGAAAUUCGUAGAUAUUCGGAAGAACACCAGUGGCGAAGGCGACUCACUGGACACAUAUUGACGCUGAGGUGCGAAAGCGUGGGGAGCAAACAGG
RNAcentral lists this ribosomal RNA (253 nucleotides) under uncultured bacterium. Its description in RNAcentral is "partial 16S ribosomal RNA". It matches the Rfam family "Bacterial small subunit ribosomal RNA", at positions 524 to 776 of the family's 1533-position model. The record is from RNAcentral.